RNAcentral lists this ribosomal RNA (253 nucleotides) under uncultured bacterium. RNAcentral's name for it is "partial 16S ribosomal RNA". It matches the Rfam family "Bacterial small subunit ribosomal RNA", at positions 524 to 776 of the family's 1533-position model. The record is from RNAcentral.
UACAGAGGUCUCAAGCGUUGUUCGGAUUCAUUGGGCGUAAAGGGUGCGUAGGUGGUAGCGCAAGUCUGGUGUGAAAUCUCGGAGCCCAACUCCGAAACUGCAUCAGAUACUGCAUUACUUGAGGACUGUAGAGGAGAGUGGAAUUCACGGUGUAGCAGUGAAAUGCGUAGAUAUCGUGAGGAAGACCAGUGGCGAAGGCGACUCUCUGGGCAGUUCCUGACACUGAGGCACGAAGGCCAGGGGAGCAAACGGG